GAUGAACGCUGGCGGCGUGCCUAAUACAUGCAAGUCGAGCGAAUGGAUUAAGAGCUUGCUCUUAUGAAGUUAGCGGCGGACGGGUGAGUAACACGUGGGUAACCUGCCCAUAAGACUAGGAUAACUCCGGGAAACCGGGGCUAAUACCGGAUAACAUUUUGAAACGCAUGGUUCGAAAUUGAAAGGCGGCUUCGGCUGUCACUUAUGCAUGGACCCGCGUCGCAUUAGCUAGUUGGUGAGGUAACGGCUCACCAAGGCAACGAUGCGCAGCCGACCGGAGAGGGUGAUCGGCCACACUGGGACUGAGACACGGCCCAGACUCCUACGGGAGGCAGCAGUAGGGAAUCUUCCGCAAUGGACGAAAGUCUGACGGAGCAACGCCGCGUGAGUGAUGAAGGCUUUCGGGUCGUAAAACUCUGUUGUUAGGGAAGAACAAGUGCUAGUUGAAUAAGCUGGCACCUUGACGGUACCUAACCAGAAAGCCACGGCUAACUACGUGCCAGCCGCCGCAGUAA
RNAcentral lists this ribosomal RNA (515 nucleotides) under uncultured bacterium. RNAcentral's name for it is "partial 16S ribosomal RNA". It matches the Rfam family "Bacterial small subunit ribosomal RNA", at positions 28 to 523 of the family's 1533-position model. The record is from RNAcentral.